This 403-nucleotide ribosomal RNA is filed under the name Verrucomicrobiota bacterium. RNAcentral's name for it is "Verrucomicrobia bacterium partial 16S ribosomal RNA". It matches the Rfam family "Bacterial small subunit ribosomal RNA", at positions 355 to 776 of the family's 1533-position model. The record is from RNAcentral. Lineage: Bacteria; Pseudomonadati; Verrucomicrobiota.
UGGGGAAUUUUGCACAAUGGGGGAAACCCUGAUGCAGCGACGCCGCGUGAGCGAAGAAGGUUUUCGAAUCGUAAAGCUCUGUCCUAUGAGAAGAUAAUGACGGUAUCAUAGGAGGAAGCCCCGGCUAAAUACGUGCCAGCAGCCGCGGUAAUACGUAUGGGGCGAGCGUUGUCCGGAAUUAUUGGGCGUAAAGGGUACGUAGGCGGUCUAUUAAGUCAGGUGUGAAAGCGUGAGGCUUAACCUCAUUAAGCACUUGAAACUGAUAGACUUGAGUGAAGGAGAGGAAAGUGGAAUUCCUAGUGUAGCGGUGAAAUGCGUAGAUAUUAGGAGGAAUACCGGUGGCGAAGGCGACUUUCUGGACUUUUACUGACGCUCAGGUACGAAAGCGUGGGGAGCAAACAGG